Molecule: long non-coding RNA, 321 nt
Organism: Syngnathus typhle (broad-nosed pipefish)
Lineage: Eukaryota; Metazoa; Chordata; Actinopteri; Syngnathiformes; Syngnathidae
Exons: 3
Source: RefSeq, a predicted model, not a curated record
CCAGUGAGCAGCAGCAGCAAACAACAGUCCUUUCGAUCAGCGAGCAACGCAGCAGUAGCAACGAAUCGCACUGAGCUCCACGGGGAAAGGAAAAAACUCAUGGGAAGAGGAGACCAAGGUUCUUCACCUUGUUUCACUCAUUGAAAACCCGAACAAAGAGUGGAAUCCCAGUCUGGUCAAGUCCUUUCUUUUCAAAUGUGGAGAGCAAGGUUCUUCACCUUGUUCUGUCAUUAAAAACCCGAACAAAGAGUGGGGUCCUGGUCUGGUCAAGUCCUUCCUUUUCAAAUGUGGAAACCCAUGAUUGGAAGAGGAGACCAAGGU